This 483-nucleotide ribosomal RNA is filed under the name uncultured bacterium. RNAcentral describes it as "bacterial SSU rRNA". It matches the Rfam family "Bacterial small subunit ribosomal RNA", at positions 28 to 507 of the family's 1533-position model. The record is from RNAcentral.
GAUGAACGCUAGCUACAGGCUUAACACAUGCAAGUCGAGGGGCAGCAGUUAGUAGCAAUACUGAGAUGGCGACCGGCGCACGGGUGCGUAACGCGUAUCCAACUUUCCGUACUCUGGGAUAGCCUUCCGAAAGGGAGAUUAAUACCGGAUGGUGUUGAAAAUUCGCAUGUUUUUCAACUAAAGAUUUAUCGGUAACGGAUGAGGAUGCGUACGAUUAGCUGGUUGGCGGGGUAACGGCCCACCAAGGCGACGAUCGUUAGGGGUUCUGAGAGGAAGGUCCCCCACACUGGAACUGAGACACGGUCCAGACUCCUACGGGAGGCAGCAGUGAGGAAUAUUGGUCAAUGGUCGGAAGACUGAACCAGCCAAGUAGCGUGAAGGAUGACUGCCCUACGGGUUGUAAACUUCUUUUGUUUGGGAAUAAAUGAUACUACGUGUAGUAUUUUGCAUGUACCUUACGAAUAAGCAUCGGCUAAUUCCGUG